AAGAUUGAUGUUUUAGAAGCUGUUCUGGUGCUGCUGUGUUGAAGACUGAAGUUUUCUUGUUUUUUUAAAUUGUGUAAUUUGUGGCAGUCCUCAUUGAUGUUUGUUUGUAAUGUUUUGGGCUCUUAAUGAGUUCCUUGGAUUUUUUCAUUAUCUCAGCUAUCACAGUUGUGUAUGGUGAUGGUUUGUACCUCCUGAACAAUUAUG
This 204-nucleotide long non-coding RNA is filed under the name Lathyrus oleraceus (garden pea). RNAcentral's name for it is "Pisum sativum (pea) long non-coding RNA (PSAT_LNC011484)". Lineage: Eukaryota; Viridiplantae; Streptophyta; Magnoliopsida; Fabales; Fabaceae. The record is from RNAcentral.